AAUUUGGUAGCUUUCCUUUUCAACAUAACAAAAGCUUUUUCAAAAGGGGACUGUAUUUGAACACCUCAACAGCCUCGUGAAGCAAAACAUCGAUUAUCUUCGAAACUCUCCAGAGAUCAGCGACCUUUGGACUCCACCACCCGUACAAGCUGAGCAUUAUGAUACAGGCUUGCGGCGCUAACAUGGAAACAUAGUGAGGAGAAACUAGGGUUUCCAAACCCUAGUUCACCGGUUCGAGGCUCCAGGUGUUUCAGCAGGUCUUGGGUUCUCUGUAAAACGGGCUACUAAUGCAUUGGGCCACUGGGAUUUGUUGGUCUUUGGGCAGCUUUGUAAUAAUUCUGGGCCAUAGGUUCAGGCCUGCCACAAUGUAAAAAUAAAAUAAAUAAUAACGUAAAUAUAAUUUAUAA
Hibiscus syriacus is the source of this 407-nucleotide long non-coding RNA. RefSeq lists it as uncharacterized. Lineage: Eukaryota; Viridiplantae; Streptophyta; Magnoliopsida; Malvales; Malvaceae. The transcript is spliced from 2 exons. The record is from RefSeq and is a predicted model, not a curated record.